Aedes albopictus (Asian tiger mosquito) is the source of this 74-nucleotide non-coding RNA. NCBI's taxonomy places the organism in Eukaryota, Metazoa, Arthropoda, Insecta, Diptera, Culicidae. The record is from Rfam.
UGUUCUGUAGCUUAGUUGGUUAAAGCGCCGGUCUAGCGAAUACGGAGUCGUGGGUUCGAACCCCACCAGAACGC